RNAcentral lists this ribosomal RNA (253 nucleotides) under uncultured bacterium. RNAcentral describes it as "partial 16S ribosomal RNA". It matches the Rfam family "Bacterial small subunit ribosomal RNA", at positions 524 to 776 of the family's 1533-position model. The record is from RNAcentral.
UACAGAGGUCUCAAGCGUUGUUCGGAUUCAUUGGGCGUAAAGGGUGCGUAGGUGGCGAUGUAAGUCUGGUGUGAAAUCUCGGGGCUCAACCUCGAAAUUGCAUUGGAUACUGCGUUGCUUGAGGAUUGUAGAGGAGAGUGGAAUUCACGGUGUAGCAGUGAAAUGCGUAGAUAUCGUGAGGAAGACCAGUUGCGAAGGCGACUCUCUGGGCAAUUCCUGACACUGAGGCACGAAGGCUAGGGGAGCAAACGGG